Molecule: long non-coding RNA, 412 nt
Filed under: Rattus norvegicus (Norway rat)
Lineage: Eukaryota; Metazoa; Chordata; Mammalia; Rodentia; Muridae
Description: long non-coding RNA NONRATT006894
Source: RNAcentral
GUUGACAGAUUGAACACAGCCUCUCUGAUGCAAAUCAGACCAUUGGAGUCCACACUUUAAUUCCCCCAAUUUGUCUUUUUAUUUUACAAGGUGGAAGCCUCCGGUGUCUCCUCUGCUGGCUUUGUGUACCUUUUUGGUCUCAGAAAGACAUGCAGGCAGUCAUUCCCUCUGGAAGUCUUACCUGGACAUUUUACCCAAGUCAUAUACCUGCCCGGUGUGCUUGGAGCCAGAAGUGGUGGAUCUUCUUCCGGGACCUUUGAGGGCGAAGGCGGAAGAGCAGAGAGCCCGCGUGCAGGAUUUGUUUGCCUCCUCUAGAGACUUCUUCUCUACCCUGCAGCCUCUGUUUGCAGAGUCUGUGGACAGCAUUUUCAGCUACCAUGCCUUCCUCUGGGCCUGGUGCACAGUGAACACC